Molecule: ribosomal RNA, 428 nt
Filed under: uncultured bacterium
Lineage: Bacteria
Description: bacterial SSU rRNA
Rfam family: Bacterial small subunit ribosomal RNA
Source: RNAcentral
GUGAGGAAUUUUCCACAAUGGACGAAAGUCUGAUGGAGCGACACCGCGUGAAGGAUGACGGCCCUCGGGUUGUAAACUUCUUUUCUUCGGGAACAAUCAAUUGAGCGUACCGAUGGAAUAAGCCACGGCUAAUCUCGUGCCAGCAGCCGCGGUAAGACGAGAGUGGCGAACGUUAACCGGAAUUACUGGGCGUAAAGCGUCCGCAGGGGGAUGUUCACGUCGGGUGUUAAAGCACAGCGCUCAACGCUGUGUUCGCGCUCGAUACGGAGCAUCUAGAGGAUUGAAGGGGCACACGGAAUUCCAGGAGUAGGGGUAAAAUCCGUAGAUACCUGGAGGAACGCCAAUAGCGAAGGCAGUGUGCUGGGCAAUACCUGACCCUCAGGGACGAAAGCGUGGGGAGCAAACGGGAUUAGAUACCCGGGUAGUCC